RNAcentral lists this long non-coding RNA (231 nucleotides) under Elaeis guineensis (African oil palm). Its description in RNAcentral is "long non-coding RNA (EGUI_LNC036378)". The record is from RNAcentral. Lineage: Eukaryota; Viridiplantae; Streptophyta; Magnoliopsida; Arecales; Arecaceae.
CCAUCUUGACAGCAUCCUAUAAGUAAAAAAAUUAGUAAUGGUCCACAUCAAUGCAGCCUUCAUUACAAAAUUUUAUUUUUUUGAUAUAUCAAAUGUAUGUAUGCCAUCGGACCAUAAAUAUUUCAGCUCAUCAACAAGAGGUCUUAGAUAUACAUCAAUGCUUCUAUCAGGUUAUCGUAGUCCAGGAAUAACUAAUGUAAGAAAAAUGCUAUGUUCUUUCAUACACAUCCU